RNAcentral lists this ribosomal RNA (253 nucleotides) under uncultured bacterium. RNAcentral's name for it is "partial 16S ribosomal RNA". It matches the Rfam family "Bacterial small subunit ribosomal RNA", at positions 524 to 776 of the family's 1533-position model. The record is from RNAcentral.
UACGGGGGGGGCAAGCGUUGUUCGGAUUUAUUGGGCGUAAAGAGCUCGUAGGCGGUUUGUUGCGUCGGCUGUGAAAUCCCGAGGCUCAACCUCGGGUCUGCAGUCGAUACGAGCAAACUAGAGUGUUGCAGGGGAGACUGGAAUUCCUGGUGUAGCGGUGAAAUGCGCAGAUAUCAGGAGGAACACCGGUGGCGAAGGCGGGUCUCUGGGCAACAACUGACGCUGAGGAGCGAAAGCGUGGGGAGCGAACAGG